CAAGUCUUGUAACCAGGGAAGGUGUCAGUGACCAGGUGACUUGUGGGUGAUCCAUCGGACCCCUCCUAAGUCUCCCCCAUAUAAACCCCGGGAGGAGCUAAUUCUGUUCUGUGCUGAGUGCAGUAAAGUCCAGACCUGAGAGUGUCUGGUGUCCUGAGGAGACCCAAGGCCUAGUCACACAUCGAGAACCUCAAAGCCUGGAGACCCCGUCUGCUGCGGGCGCCACCGAAAUCCAUCGAAAGCUAGGACUGCGAGGACCUGCGCCAUGACUAUUGACGGCAAUGCAGUCUACACACCCGGCCGAGUCAGAACAAGACAUAACAGGUCACCCCAAGAAGAAACCUCCCGCUUGGAGAACUCCUAAUGGAUGAUGUGCGGUCACCUCUAUUAUCUUCCCUGGUCCAUGGCCUCAUAAUAUCCAGUCUUCGUCUCCUCACCUGUCCGCUUACGGUUAAA
Long non-coding RNA from Hyla sarda, 456 nucleotides. RefSeq lists it as uncharacterized. The record is from RefSeq and is a predicted model, not a curated record. The transcript has 3 exons. Lineage: Eukaryota; Metazoa; Chordata; Amphibia; Anura; Hylidae.